RNAcentral lists this transfer RNA (87 nucleotides) under Ilumatobacteraceae bacterium. RNAcentral's name for it is "tRNA-Leu". It matches the Rfam family "tRNA". Rfam says of the family: Transfer RNA (tRNA) molecules are approximately 80 nucleotides in length. Their secondary structure includes four short double-helical elements and three loops (D, anti-codon, and T loops). Lineage: Bacteria; Bacillati; Actinomycetota; Acidimicrobiia; Acidimicrobiales; Ilumatobacteraceae. The record is from RNAcentral.
GCCCGGGUGGCGGAAUUGGCAGACGCGGGGGGCUUAAACCCCCCUUCCCGAAAGGGAGUGUGGGUUCGAACCCCACCUCGGGCACCA